Delphinapterus leucas (beluga whale) is the source of this 4917-nucleotide non-coding RNA. The record is from RefSeq and is a predicted model, not a curated record. NCBI's taxonomy places the organism in Eukaryota, Metazoa, Chordata, Mammalia, Artiodactyla, Monodontidae.
CGUGGGAGCGCCGCUGGGGCGGCCUCCUCCGCGCACCCAGCCCGGCCCCGCCGCCUCCUCCAGGCAGCCCAACGCCACCAGGGAGCCUGCGUGCCUUCCCCAACCACUGCUGCCUCGCGGUCCCUCGCACCUCUAAAAGCCCAGCUCCCUUUUGGGGAAGGAGGGACUCAGUAGGAGACCGGGUCAGGAGUGUCCAUUCUGUUUGUAUGUUGUGUCUCCCCUUAUCAGACUAGAGGCUCCCUGAGGCCAGGGAUUGGUUCUCUUCAGACUAGAGGCUUGUGAGGGGAGGUAUUGGGUCAGGGCUUCUCCCAUCAGACUGGGGAGAUCUCAGAUGGCAGGGGUUGGGCUCUCCCUAAAAGACAGAGAGCCAGUGAAAGAAAGUUUGUAAAGAUUGGAGCCUGGUGCUCAGACCUACAGUAAAUGUUUAUGUUUUAGUUGUUAGCUAAUACGACUACUGGUUACGUAAUAGUUUCCCCAAAGCUGGGGCCACAGGAAGCCGUCAUGUCCCGCCUUUCUUCUCUACCCCCCAGUCCACAAGUGCCUAUACCACAACAGUCAGGAAAGAGAGGACACUUUUCACAUGCUGCCCCCUCUCCAGGGGCCUUCCUGGAGGGUGAGUCUGAGUGACCUGAGCUGUAGUUCCUACUUGCCUGGUGAGGAAGUGGGAGGGAGUGUCCUGCCCCCAGGUUAGAGAGGAGGGGACCCCAGCCUCUUGGCCUCCAGAGAAGGCCCUAGCAUGGAUUGUCUCAAAAGGAGUGAGUGGGUGAGGGCCAUGGACAUGACAAAUCUACCUGCAGAUCCUCAGCUUAGCACAGAUCAGGCAGAAAGGGCAGCUGGACACGGGGAAGAACUUUCUGAGUCCUGGCAGGGAGCUCUGGGGACUUCUCCAGGUUGGGCCCUGUGUUGGGAUGGUGGACAUGCCUGCCAAAGCUCCCUUCUGGCCUGAAGGGCUUAUUCUCUUUCCUGCUCCCCACUGCCUAGAAGCUCUGCCCACCAGCCCUCCACUGCAAGAAAUCUGGAGGGGGCAUUUUGAGUUAAUACAUACGGCCUGGCUUUUGUGGUGAAGCUAAUCAGAAGUAAUUAUGGGGGAAGGAGGGAUCCUUAGAGGGACCCCACAGAGACCACCUCAUCCGCCCCGGACCAGCCGUGGUGGCCCUGGCCCCCAGGGCCUAGGCCCAGCUCAGCUCCUCCUGGGGAGGGGGAAGCCACCAACGCCAACCCUGCCCACUGCUCUCCCCUCUCCCUGCUGACCCAAGCCCUGCAGCCGCAGGUAAGCUCACACAUCCGAGUUUGCCUCAAUUGGCCCCCAGCUGUUCCAUCCUCAUUCAUUCAUCCCACAUUUAUUGGGCACCUUCUCUGAGCCAGGGCCUGUGCUGGGCACUGAAAGUGACUGGUCCCUGCCCUGGGACGUGGGUCAGUGUAGUCGCUGCAGAGGGGAAGGCAGAGGACCCCCUCCAGGAUCACAGGCCACUUCAGGGAGGCCCUCCCUGGCCACCAUCUUGCCGCUACUGAGGGGACUGGGGGGACAGAGCCCACCAGCUCCAGGAGCCUGUGAGGACUUCCUGAUUUCUGCACUCCUAACCCGGCAGGCCGCCCAAUCCCGCCUCCCACCCGUUGUUGACGGGUGUCAGGCCAGCCCUGCUCUGUCUCCCUGUCCUGGCCCUCUGCCCUCUGGCAGCCUCCUCCAUCCACUUCUGUUCUCCCUGCUUCUUUGCUCAGGGGUCCCUCAGCAGUGCAGAGACCCUCAGUUGGCACUUCACAGUCACCUCCCUGGGGUUCAAGGCCCCAUGCGGGAGAGCCUUAGAGACAGCUCUCCUCUCUUUCAUGCACAAGGAAACUGAGGCCAGGACGGGUGGCGGGGAGAGUGCAGGCAGUCAGGGCAGUAGAACUAAACCCUGGUCUUCUGACUCCCGGUCCAGUGCUCUUUCUGGGGAGUCCUCCCUGACCUGCACCUGAGGGCAGUUCGGGUCUGUCCUUCCUCAGUCCCCUUACUGUGCCCAGGAGAACCAAGGAGCAAACAGGGGUCUCCACCAUCUUGCCUCCUGCCCUGCCCCAGCAGCCUGGGCCCAGAGACUGGGUGGUGGGGUGGGAAGGACCAGAGUGGGUCUCAGUUGAGGGUCUCUCAUUUGCUCCUGCCUCUUGAUGUCCAGACUAAAACCGGCCUUCUGUGCCCAAGAGACUUCCAAGCAGAAGUGGAGGGAAAAAUUCCUUCUUGGGCAGAGAAGCGUCCCCUGAUUGAAUCCCUGCCCCUGUCUCAAGCUCACAGGAACUGAGGGUCCAAGAGAAGGCCUCUUUCUCUGACCCUCAGGGUCUCCCACCCACUGCUUCUCCGCGCAGGGGCUGCACAAGGUAAAUUCCAUCAGUGACUUCAUGGCUCUGAGCUUUGGUUUCCCUACCUGUAAAAUGACAGUAACACAGCAUUUAACUAUGGGGAUUAAAUAAGCCACAGCCCAGGGUCCACGUUCCUAAAAUGGCAGUGUGGCAAUGACUAAUGCCCCACAAGAUGUCCCUUGUGUCUGGAGGCUAAUUCUCCUCCCAGAAUGGCUACCUGGAACCCAGGACCUGGCCGUGACUCCUGGCCUAGGGACCAGGACUGUGAUAGGCAGGCCGUGAGGUGAGCAGGUCACUGGGAAGGGGUGGGAUUACUGGACUGUCCGGUGGCAUCUGCCUGAGCCUGGGGCACAUUCCUCCUCCCCUGCUCUCCCCACCUGCCGGCUGCCACCUGUGCUGCUAGCACCAUGGCUCACCUGGCCUCUGCAGCUGCUCUGAGGGAAGGAAUGAACUGUGGGAGUAGCCCAAUCUGUAUAGCCGGCUGGAGCACCUUAGCAGCUAGCCCUCACGGAGGGGCUAAGCAUCUCUAUCCCGGUUUCAUCCUAUGACCCUCAGCACCCUGGGAGUACCCUCACAACAGGGGCUAGAUCUCCACUCUCAGACUGGGGUCUCCCUGAGGCAGGGCUUGGGCCCUCACCAUCAGACCAAAGGAUUCCCGAAGUGGGAGCUUUCCCAGAGAACCUGGCCCAAGGGGACUGGGCUGGGAUUUGAUGGGUCAGCCUGGAACCUUCAUGGGUCCAACAGCCUUACCCCACUCCUUGUUCACAUCCAAAAUUUUCCACUGAUGGGAAAGUCUGCAGGGAAGCUGGAGAGAACUAGAAAACCUGGGAGAUUGUCUGCUGCCCUGUCAUCUGGAAUGGCUGAGGUAGGGGGAAGGGCAGUUUCGUAUGGAGAGGCAGCCUCUAGGGUCAUUCCCAAAUCAGCCUCCCUCCUCCUCCCUUCCCUCAUCAAAGCCAGGCAGGCUAACCCCUUCUCUCCCUCUGUGCCCCCAAAGAGCUAGAGAGGGAAGGGACUGCUUGGCGUUUAGUGGUGGGGGUGAGACCAAGGGGAAGAAGGCACCUUUAUCCCCCAGACCUGCAGUCAGGCUGACACAGCAGCCUGCAGGGGGUGCUACUGGGUGGCUGAGACCUUGGGGGUGGGGGAUGGUAAAGCCCAGAUCUGGAGCUGAUAAUACCCGUAGCUCCUAAUGUCAGCACCCACUCUCCCAGCAGGAAAAAGAGCCCCUUCCCCACCAUUCCACACUCAAUCCAAAUAUGGAUCAUCUAGGGUUAGGGGAUUAAGGGGGAGGGGGAGCUGGGCUAAAUGGAAUGCUGUUUCCUAGGAACUGGGAGGAUUCUGAGGCACGUUGGGAAGUAUGGGUUGGGAGUCGUUUAGACAGAGAGAGGACAGAGCUUUGGAGAGAGGGGACAUCUAGGAGCCCAUAAUGCCCACCCCCUCCCUUCCAUGCCAAGCCUCACUUAAGUCCUCUCAGAGAAUGUCUCCUGUUUUCAGGUCUACCUCCAUAUGCAUUCAAUGCAGAAGCCUCCACACCCUCACUUAAAAAAUAAAAACACUUUCAUUAAAGGCCUACCGUGGGGCUUCCCUGGUGGUGCAGUCGUUGAGAGUCCGUCUGCCGAUGCUCCGCAACGGGAGAGGCCACAACAGUGAGAAGCCCGCGUACCGCAAAAAAAAAAAAAAGGCCUACCGUGUUCCAGACCUACAGUGUGCUGCAGGGUCGUGUUCUAAGCAUGAAUGAGCAACACCCCCUCCCUCACCUGCUCACAGUCUAGGGGCUGCGACACACAAGACAGAUUCCAGUUCAAGACAGAAUGAAAUACAAGCUAGGCAGAGACGCCAAGAAAUCCGGGUGUGCAGACAGGGAAAUUCGUCCUGACAAAAGAUCAAAGAUAACCUCCCCAAACAUCCAAAGGGUAAUGCAAAAAGUAACUUGCAUCCAAUACCCUGACGUGCCUCUUCUGCGUAGAAGCCUUCUCUGAGUCCCCAGCCUAAAUCUGUCCCACCCCCAUGAUACGUUCUCCUUGAGUUCCUAAAGACACCCUGAACUUAUCACAGUUUGUAAGGAUAUAUUUAUUUAUGGGAUUAUGUGAUGAAUCCUUCUCCCCCACAGCACCGUAAGUGCCAGGAACAAGCUUGUCUGUGAGCUAAAGUGGUGGGCCGUGAAAGCAUGCGGCAGGACUACGGUGAAAAAAGCCACUGGUUAUGGCUGGAGUUGAAGGGGGUGAAGUAUAUAGUGGUGGCCCAGGCUGGCAAGGGAAGUUGGCACCAGAUCAGGGCAGGCUGUGAAUGCCAGGCAACGUUGGGACUUUAUCCUGCUGGCAGUGGGGAGCCAUCAAAGUUUCUGAGCAUGAGAGUGGCAUGUUCCAACCUGUGUUCUGAGAUCCCAGGAUCUCUAGUACGAUGCGGAGGAGGGAUUGGGGGGGUUGGGGUGUGCCCCCCUGGAGCCAGGGGGACCAGCCCUUGUUGCAGUAGUCUCAGGGACUGGUUUAAAAAGGUCUCAGUUGGGCUUCCCUGGUGGUGCAGUGGUUGAGAAUCUGCCUGCUAAUGCAGGGGACACGGGUUCGAGCCCUGAUCUGGGACAAUCCCACA